UAUUUUACGUUUCCCCCUCCUUUGUACACACCGCCCGUCSMURCUAYCGAUUGAAUGGCUCAGUGAGGCGUCCGGACUGGCCCAGAGAGGCGGGCAACUGCCACUCAGGGCCGGAAAGCUCUCCAAACUCGGUCAUUUAGAGGAAGUAAAAGUCGUAACAAGGUCUCCGUUGGUGAACCAGCGGAGGGAUCAUUA
This 195-nucleotide ribosomal RNA is filed under the name Calonectria macroconidialis. Its description in RNAcentral is "partial 18S ribosomal RNA". It matches the Rfam family "Eukaryotic small subunit ribosomal RNA". Lineage: Eukaryota; Fungi; Ascomycota; Sordariomycetes; Hypocreales; Nectriaceae. The record is from RNAcentral.